AUUUAAGUAGCUUAAAUUUAGAGUACGACAUUGAAGAUGUUGAGGUAAUUUUGUAAUUCUUAAAUA
RNAcentral lists this transfer RNA (66 nucleotides) under Acidiella didymera. RNAcentral describes it as "tRNA-Phe". It matches the Rfam family "tRNA". Rfam says of the family: Transfer RNA (tRNA) molecules are approximately 80 nucleotides in length. Their secondary structure includes four short double-helical elements and three loops (D, anti-codon, and T loops). The record is from RNAcentral. Lineage: Eukaryota; Metazoa; Arthropoda; Insecta; Diptera; Tephritidae.